UACGUAGGGGCCGAGCGUUGUCCGGAGUUACUGGGCGUAAAGCGCGCGCAGGCGGCCACUUAAGCCCGGCGUGAAAGCCCCCGGCUCAACCGGGGAGGGUCGUCGGGGACUGGGUGGCUUGAGGACGGCAGGGGCUGGUGGAAUCCCCGGUGUAGUGGUGAAAUGCGUAGAGAUCGGGGGAACACCCGUGGCGAAGGCGGCCAGCUGGGCCGGUCCUGACGCUGAGGCGCGAAGGCGUGGGGAGCGAACGGG
Molecule: ribosomal RNA, 252 nt
Filed under: uncultured bacterium
Lineage: Bacteria
Description: partial 16S ribosomal RNA
Rfam family: Bacterial small subunit ribosomal RNA
Source: RNAcentral